RNAcentral lists this ribosomal RNA (599 nucleotides) under Crenosoma striatum. RNAcentral describes it as "eukaryotic LSU rRNA". It matches the Rfam family "Eukaryotic large subunit ribosomal RNA", at positions 381 to 912 of the family's 3401-position model. The record is from RNAcentral. Lineage: Eukaryota; Metazoa; Nematoda; Chromadorea; Rhabditida; Crenosomatidae.
GAGAGAGUUCAAGAGAACGUGAAAUCGUUGAAGUGGAACCGGAGAGAGUUGACGUAGUAUGGUGGAUAAGUAUUGCAAGAAUCGCUUCAUACCAUGAAUGUGAUCGAGUAAUAUGUACGUCACCAAUGACUGCGCUGACAGCAUCGACUACACGCUCUGAACCGUGUUGACAUGCUGCCUACCCUAGUAUAUAGAGUGGUGUCUUGUGUUACGUGGUGAAGUUUGUUGUUGAUGUUGUUGAUGUUGAUAAGUAUGAUUAUACACCGAGUAUAAUUAUGUCAGUGUAAAAGUCAACCACCUCUCCGACCCGUCUUGAAACACGGACCGAGGAGUGUAACUUGUACGCGAGUCAAUGGGUGGAAAAACCUUAAGGCGAAACGAAAGUGAAGGCACGGUUAACCGGCUGACAUGGGAAACGUGCGGUAUUGUUAGCGAGACGUUACACCAUGGCCCUGUCUUGUCUGCAUGCAGAUGGGCAGCGGUAGAGCGUACAGGUUGCGACCCGAAAGAUGGUGAACUAUGCCUGAGCAGGACGAAGUCAGAGGAAACUCUGGUGGAAGUCCGUAUCGGUUCUGACGUGCAAAUCGAUCGAUAGACUU